This 4128-nucleotide long non-coding RNA is filed under the name Nothobranchius furzeri (turquoise killifish). RNAcentral describes it as "lncRNA (ENSNFUG00015005719.1)". The record is from RNAcentral. Lineage: Eukaryota; Metazoa; Chordata; Actinopteri; Cyprinodontiformes; Nothobranchiidae.
UUCCUGUUUACCAGUGUGAUGUCAGCAGCUCUGCGUCUUCCAGAACAAUGCGGUGAAUUUGAGAACCACGUGGAAUCUGGACCGAAGGGCCGGCCCGAGGAGCUGGAAUAGCCUGGGCGCAGACUGUUGCGUGUAGACGUGGACCGAUGGGCUGUUCAAGCUCGCAAUAGCAUGCUAGCUGCUAAAGGUAAAGGUGGUUCAACGUCUCACCGCUACCGGCCGGCCUCGGAGUACGACGAUGCCACUCUCGCUCAAAAGAGGGAAUAUUGGAGGAAUAAGAAACGGCAACAGAGGGCUCGUCUGUCGGAGCAGAGAGGAAAGCCAGCGAAGGAGAAGGUCUCGUUCCAGCGUGAUUCCGCUGCGGGGACUUUGCCAAACUUUGCAUUGUCUCGUCCCUUUUACAGUAAUGUCUCAUGCGUUGCUUCAUUAAAGAGGAGAGGUACAGAUGGAGUUGGCUCAGAGGAUGCUGCUAGCGACCAAGAGGAAAGGUGUCUCGAGACCGCAAACGUUAAAGGCUUCCGGCUGACGUCUGGUUCAGUCGUAGCUCCAGGAGCUGCAGCAACACGUGUGGUUAGCUCUCCCAGCUCCGGUGGAACCCAGCUCGGCACCAGUUCAUCGGCGCCUCCUGUGAUCGACUCUAGCGUUACAAACGGCAGCUCCAUCAAAGCAGAACCUCAGCCAUGCGUGUCCGUGCAGGGCAGAUCCGUCCCCAGAACCCGGCCCAAGGCCCACGUUCUGUCACCCAUUCCGCCCAUGACCGACCCACUCGCCACCACACAAAUGAAACGCGCCCCCAUUUCCAGUAAAGCAGCAGUACCUCGGAGUGGACCAAAGAGUGCUUUGGUCUCCAGGAGAAGGGCCGAAGGUCCUCCUCAGCCUCCCUCGGUGUCCGAGGAGGAGAAGGCAGCCAGGCGCAGAGAGCACUGGAGGCUCAAAAAGCGGGAGCAGCGGGCAAAGCUGGCGGCUCAGACGGCUAACGUCAAAGAGAGAACGCAGAUUGGAGGUGGGACACGUCAGAGGACGACGGCACAGAAAACUGUGUCUGGCUUCAUGCUUCCAUCACAGACCUUUCUGAGAGGAAUGGGACAGAAGCUGUGUUCUGUUCGGGUCAAAGUGCCAUUCAUAGCUGCCAGACACGAUUCUGAUAAACCCCGGAGCAGGUCUGUCUCCAUGCUGCCAGCGGGUCCUGUCAAAGUCCAAAACCCUCAGAAGAGCAGAAGAAAGCAGCCGACCCUCACGUGUGAUGUUAACUCUGGGAGGAGGCCAGCGGACUCUCAGAGAAAAGCAAGCUGCCUCACUCCGUCGGACCCCAGAGGCAUCGCUCCGUGUAGGUCUCCUCGACUCAAGUUCAUCGACGCGCAGAAGAAGUUCAUAAGUCUUGGGAAUUUAAGAUGCAAAUCUCCCUCCGUGGCUUCGGCGUUAUCCACCAGAGGACUGCCCAAAGCGGACCCGAAUGACUCAUCAGAGCAGAUCAUAGCCAAGCGGCGAGAGUACUGGAGGAUUAAAAAGCGCGAGCAGCGGGCCAAGCUGUCGCUGGAGUCCAAGACUCGGGCGCAGGAGAAGCAGUCCCUGAGAGUGAGACGGUACCAGCAAAUCCUCGCGGAUCUGAGAAAGACAAGGGCGCUGACGCACUCAACAGGAAGUGCCCUUUCUCCUGAUUCUGAGACCAUCGGAGGCUUCAUCAAGGAGGAUGGGACUCUGACCGUUAACCUUCCUUCAUACAGAAACGCAGCCGGUGGGGGAUGUAAGGAGGAGCGCAGCGGAGGUCCUCAGAAUGUCCACAUGACUCGAGCACAGCACGGAGCCGGGACGACGAGGGGACGUGCUGGUCCGGUCCAGGAAAGCCAGGCUCCACCUCAGGGCGUGCAGCCGGUCCACAGACCUCCAGGAUUACUCCAAAUCAAACCUCACGUUAGCAGCUCCGAUUCUGGCCCGCCCUCAGCCACAUCCCAAAGAGUUGGUCCGCUCACGCAUUCCAGUACCCGCCAGAACACAGGAUCAACAUCUGGAUCAGGCGGGGGCAGCUGUGUGAUGAAAGUGGCCGUCUCCAGCUGUGCUCCGUCUCAGAAUGUGUUGCUGCCAGAGGAGGACAGGAUAGCGAAGAGGAGGGGGUACUGGAGAGUAAAGAAACGUGAGCAGCGAGCAGCCCGCGCUAUUCUCCUGAAGCACAGCUCGGCCCUGCUGAAGAGGAGAGCUCAGAGGCCAGACCCGGCAACCGCCGUGACUACACGUGCAGAAGACUCGCCACAUGGAAAUGACAUAAAACAGGAGAGUGAGUCCACGUCUGACCUACGUUCUCCACCAGAGCAGCCGCCGAGCACCCUGCCUGCCCCUCCGGGGCUGCAGCUGGAGCUGGACCCGAGUCUGUACUCCGACAGCCAAGCUACCACUCUGCUAGCCGUGGCCUCCAUGAAGAAGCUCCUGGAGGAGUCUCUCAGCAGCGUGGCAGAGUGUCAAACGGAGCAGCUUGGUCUUCAAAUCAAGCCGGAUGAAGAUGAUUCUGAGCUGGACGUGAAGCCCGCGGUGUCUCAGCUGAUCUUUGCAAACGACGCCGCUACCUCAGCAGCUGCUGACGCAACUCUGCAGAUGAAAGGCUGGGAUCCAGGUAGUGACGAUGUGGUACCAAGAGGCUCAGUGAGCCCUCAGCUCAACUCUUCACUAGUCAGCGACAUGCUUCCCUCUUUUCCCGCCUGCAGCGAGGUAGAACUUCUCACCUGUGAGCACUCGUCCCAACCCCUCUCUAACCUCACUGAGAAUCGAACCGUGGAAGCUUCUGGGUCUCCGUGCAGAACCCAGAGACUCGUCAGCAACAACCUUCAGGACAUCUGCUCCCCAGAGCCGGCUCAGCUUCGCCACCUGCCAGCUAUGUCCCUGUACCACCCACACCAGCAGCAGCAUCAGGGCUGGUCCCAGAGCAGCAGCCUGCCUCCAGCACAGGCGCACACCCACGUGGGAGCGGAGCGGAGCGGCUUAACCAGCCUGCAGAGGAAGAGGGAGUACUGGAAGCUGAUGAAGAGGCAGCAGAGGGCUCGACUACGGGCCAAGCAGAAGGAGCAACCAUCCAAAAGCAGCAGUCGGCCCCUUGUGGAGAACAUCCAGGUCCCAGGGCCUCUGAAGGAUGUGGGUCGGUGCAAGCCGGCCCCCCAGCCCCACCUGUCGCUCGCCUCUGUGGCUGCAGGGACCGCCAUCCCUAGAGUCCUGGUUGUUAGGCGAACAGCAGCUAACCCCGAACGGUGUCCUGACACGCUUCAGGUCAAACUGCCCAUGACCAGCAGAGAAGAUCGGAUGAAUGUUGGGUCUUUUGAUGAUGGGUGUCUUCAUAAACAGCCCCAUCGUAGCGUGGCCCCAUGCUUCUCUGCUCUGAACCCCCCCGAUAACCCACUGUCCAGCAUCCACUUGCGUUCUAUUGAAUUACCUGGUCAAACAUCUAAUUUCAUCAAAAACUCCUCCUGUGGUCUUCAGAGCCAGUCCUCCUCCAACCUGGCACCCAUUAGCACCUUGGUUCCUCCGAAGCCCAUCCCGGGGGAGUCUGAGGAGGACUUUUUAAGGAGGAAACGAGAGUACUGGAGGAUAAAAAAGAAGGAACAGCGAGCCAGGAAGGCUGUUCGAGACAGGGAUCCCCUUGCACACGUGGUCUCAAACAGCUGGAGUCCCGUUCCACCAGUCCAGGGUCUACAGACUUCAGGAGCUGCACAGGAUCCUGGGAAGUGGGGGGAUCCCUCUGUGGACUCGGAGCCUCUGAAGAGUGUGAAAGUGGACCCAGACCCAUCACAUGACACUCCCCAGGUAGCAGAUGAGCCGGAGCCCCUGUUGACGGACUACGGUGGUUACAACGAAGACGAUGGUCGUCCUUCAGAGGUGGUUUGGAGGAACCGUUACCUGAUGGACUACGACCCGCUCAACCAGCUGUUGGUGUGCAUGGUGUGUGGGGAGCUGCAGUACUCUCACACCCUGGAGGGCGUGAGGGCCCACAUCGACGAGGCUCACCCACACACCAUGACCCUUGACCCCAGGGAGAAGCAGCAGAUCCUGGAGGGUUGGGAUGAGCAGGUGUCCCAACGGGAACGCUUCUUCACCAGCCAGCUGCAGCAGCACAGCACCGUUCUAGCAGAAUCGUACCGGAGCUGA